AUACGUAGGUGGCGAGCGUUGUCCGGAAUUACUGGGUGUAAAGGGAGCGUAGGCGGGGGAUCAAGUUGAAUGUUUAAACUAUCGGCUCAACCGAUAAUCGCGUUCAAAACUGAUUUUCUUGAGUGAAGUAGAGGCAGGCGGAAUUCCUAGUGUAGCGGUGAAAUGCGUAGAUAUUAGGAGGAACACCAGUGGCGAAGGCGGCCUGCUGGGCUUUAACUGACGCUGAAGCUCGAAAGCGUGGGGAGCAAACAGGAUUAGAUACCCUGGUAGUCCACGCUGUAAACGAUGAUUACUAGGUGUGGGGGGACUGACCCCUUCCGUGCCGGAGUCAACACAAUAAGUAAUCCACCUGGGGAGUACGAUCGCAAGAUUGAA
RNAcentral lists this ribosomal RNA (375 nucleotides) under uncultured bacterium. RNAcentral describes it as "bacterial SSU rRNA". It matches the Rfam family "Bacterial small subunit ribosomal RNA", at positions 523 to 898 of the family's 1533-position model. The record is from RNAcentral.